Molecule: long non-coding RNA, 465 nt
Organism: Physella acuta
Lineage: Eukaryota; Metazoa; Mollusca; Gastropoda; Physidae
Source: RefSeq, a predicted model, not a curated record
GGUUGAACCAGGACAGACGGUUGAAACAGUUCAAACUUUGUUUCAUUUACUCUGUGCCACUGUGAUUUAUUUUCGACAAUUCAGCUUUUUAAAAAAAAAAUUUAAAAAAAAAACUCAACGAUGGAGGUACAAAAUAUAAUCUCGCGCUCCAAAAGUGAUUAGUCUCCCUCUGUCCCCCGUCACAUUCAGGCCGUGUAUUCACAAUGCGGCUCCACGCUCUCGUCGGUGCCGCUGUGGUUCUACCUCACUACAUUCUGGGACUCGUCCUUCUAGCACCUCCAGGUUCACAUUUAGACGGCGAUGACGAUAUAUCUGUAGAGAACAUCGACGUCGACGAUAGCAUCGACGACCAAGCUUGGACGAUACCAUUUAGCAACUUAGAAAAACAGUUUUUUCCGUCCUCCGAAGCCGGGAAUAGUAUUCUAUCCUCCGACUACCUACCUCUACGUAAAAAACACUCAAGGC